ACUUCCUCUCUUCUUCAGUUUUAAAACGUAUACAUUUAUUACCAUUGAAAGAUCAAAUCUGGGAAACGCGCAGACCUACAAUCCUUGAUGAAUACACCACAAGUCGAUAGAAAGUGAGACAAAAUGUGUAGGUGACAGCUGGGUCUGUGUAACCACGUGAAUUAUUGCACUCUUAUACCGAUGUAUUAUUAAUUAGCUCCGAAUUUUACCUAGAUAAAUCUACAAGGAGUGCAUUCGCCAGGUUUCUAAGACGAUUCAAGCCUAACAUGUAUGUACCAUCUAAACUCGAAGUAUACUUUGGCCAUUUUUAACAUUAAAGUUUGAUGUAGGAUCUUGUGAAGCAUUCACUGUAACAUCUAAACUCAGGAACUAUUCUUUGUCCAUUUUUAACAUUGAAGUUUGGUGUAGGUCUAUAUAUCUAGAUGUUAGUUUCAAAUAAUUAAUUAUUAAUUUAUUUUCACUUAUUUCAUGGGGCGGCAUUUUGAGAAAGAUCUACCUCCUCCAUAGAUGGAGACACACACAAGAGUGAAAAAGAGGAGUAGGCCUACUAUUGUAAGCUACACACAAUUAAUCACCUUCAUCAUCAUCAUCUGUCCAGUGUCCAUUGACUUUCAUAGUAGGGGUGCUGUGACAGUUCGUGUAAACCAAGUCCCUCCACGUUUUUUCGUCAGCAGCUGUUCUUAGCAGGAUACCAAGAUAAAGAUCUGUCCAUUCCUUUACGUUGUCCAGCCAGCUUUUCUUUGGACGACUUAUCUUAUAUUCAGGGCCGCUAUUGUGCAAGUGUGCAUUGCACGCAGGCGGCCGAAUGUAGGGGGCGGCCAAAUCAUUAUUCCAAGAUUCUUUUUGUUCUUCCUGAGGUUCAAAUGUAUCAGUUGUUUUUAUUGACAGAUAUCAAGUUUCUCUACCAGCAGUUUGGUGCUACAAGUCAACAACACUCUGCAGCAACAAGACUCAAUUAAAUAAAGCCAUGUCUAUUUCUACAUCAUUUUGUUGCUACUAACCUGUUGUUACUAACAACUAACUUGAAAUGGGAGAGUCAUUUCAGUUCUCAAUUAUUUUGUGCAACAAGUUACAAGAACAAAGCGAUAGAGGUCACUACACUAAAACUUUGUCUUCUCAUAAGAAUGGAUGGCUGCCUGGUCAUGUGGUAUGUGUGCUGGACUGUUGUGUGGUCAUCUUGAUGCUCAUAUCUUGCCUGAUGACAUUAAUUCUGCUGCAUGUUUGGUCAAGGAAGUAGAUUCUCUUCAACUCUCGAGGAACAUUCAAAACAUGUCAAACAUAAGACAAGAAUAUCAAGCAAGUGCAGUGUACAUAGCCUUCUUUGUGUUCUAAGGAAACCUGCCAUUAUCUUUUGAUAGCUCAAUGUCGGUGAAGAUGUUUUUACAUACCUAGUGCAUCUGAAAGAAAUGUACAUUUCCCUAAUGCUACUUCAAAACCAGACUUUCUCAAGACAACCUUAGUGACCAAGCUGCAAUACAGGACCCAGUAGGAAACAAGAAUCCUCCCAACCUCAAGUUGAGUAUCCAUGCUCACCUACUAGAGUGGUGACAAAUACUUCUACACCCACAGUUUUACAUCCUGAACCCUGUAACCCAAUCUCACAACAUGGUUACUUACUUACUUAAUCCUGUGUACUCCCAUGGGAGGAUAGGGCAGCAACCAGACCUCUCCACCAAACUCGGUUCUGAGCAGCUUUCUUCAUCUGCUCCCAUGUCAUUCCAGCACCCUCAGCUUCACUGAUGACUGACCUCUUCCAGCAUGGUUACAUUACCAGAAGUGGUUGCGAAGUCAGAAAACCUAACCGAUACAAUGAAUAGAACAAUCAUUUCUAAUACAGGUACAAGUACUCACGUGAUGUACUUUGUAAGAACUAAUUAGGUGGAAUCACCAUAAUAGACUUGUAUCUUGUUAUAUAUUGAGGUAUAUAUUGACAAUCAGUUCAGUCGUUGUUCUUUUUUUUUCCCUCAAUCUUCUUGUUGUUUCAGUUAAAUGUUUUUAUCUUUUUUUUUGUUUUUGGAGGAGGGAAGGGCUGUGGUAUAUUAUUAUUAUUAUUGGAGUCACAACACCAAAGCUUAGCUACAUUAUGCUUUUAAUUCAAUUUAUCUCCCCUGCUUUUGUGUGCUAUCAUAUUAAUGUUCAUUAGUGUCACAUCCCUGCACUAUUUGUUCUAUGCUUUUUAUAGUGUAAAUAGUGACUUGACAUUAUUUAGAUCAAUUAUAAUAUGUUAUAUUAUAUUAUUAUAUUUAAAAUAAAACUUAACAUUUUCUAUGCUGUUAUUAAUAUGAAUGUUUUGCUUGUGUUGCUAUGAAUGCAGUUUUGAGUUUUAGUCCAAAAUCAUAGAUGAGAAAUUGUUCCAUAAAGAAAGAUCUAUAUGUAAUCUCUAUUUCUGAUGGAACACAUGUAAAACCAACAAAACAAACAGUAGACCUAGACUUAAUUAUCAGGGCAUGCAAACUUUUUUUUAUAAUUGUGAACUGGCACUCCCAGAGCUAUUUUUAUGUAUUGUUAUUUUUACUACUUUUGUAGACUAGUGCUAAGCUGUAUGCUUAUACUUCCGCCUAUUGUUAUAUGUGUUAGGGUGAUGCUUGUUUCCUUUACUUUUGACCAGAGGUCUGUUUGUCAGUUUUAAUAAUUCUGAACUUGGAACUGCCUGAAAGUUUCAGAGUUAUUUUAAUUUUUUUUUAUUUUACUACAUGUAAAUCUACUUUAUAUGUUAGUUAUAUAUGGUAAUUAUUUUUCGAAUUGAAACAACUGUCAAAAUAAUUGGCGGUUUGUUUUUUAAAGUUUGUUUUAUAAAGUUUGUUUUAAAAUGAUGGCCACUUCUAAUGUUUAUGUACUAGAUCUUGUCCUUAUGUUUUUGUAUUUUUUGCUGCAGUGUUUUGUAACUGCUGCUUUAGUCAUUUAAAUUAAAGUCUCAUUUUUCUAAAUUUCUUCUCUAUGUUUCUUGAUUUCUUUUAUCAAGCCCCUUGGUCACAGACUGAGGUGCACAGAUACAACUCACCCAGUAGCGUUACCAUCUGGCAACUGUAACUUAUUGUUAUCCCAGGCUAGACAUGACCUUGGGGCCCGCCACACUAACACAAUAUUAAUAUUCUCUUGAAUCAUUCUAGACAGCAUUGAGACCAUCCCUGUCCCUAACAAUACAUAAUUACCUUCCUUUAGUUGUAGAAUGAAAGUUGAGCAAAUAGUUAAGUUCCUACAUAGUUCACUCGAAGGUGUGGUGGCUGACCGGUAAAGUACUUGGCUUCCAAACAAGGGUCCAGGGUUUGAAGACUAGGAUUUUUUAUUUUAGGACUAUUAGGCACCUUUGAGUCCACCCAGAUCUAAUGGGUUCCUGACAUAUGUUGGGGAAAAGUAUAGAGUAUAGACUGUUGGUCAUUGUGCUGGCCACCUGACACACUCAUUGACCACAGGACACAAAAACAGAUGAGCUUUAUAUCAUCUGCCCUACAAAGUCUGAAAUGGGAAUUUUUUUAUUUUUUUUUUGUUUGACUUUUUACAAUCCACUUUAAUAUGUUUUUUAAACAUUUUGCUCUACAUCAAAAAGCUUCUCCCAU
Molecule: long non-coding RNA, 3557 nt
Organism: Biomphalaria glabrata
Lineage: Eukaryota; Metazoa; Mollusca; Gastropoda; Planorbidae
Exons: 5
Source: RefSeq, a predicted model, not a curated record